UUCUUUUCUCUUUUUUCUCUUUUCCCUUUUUUUUUCUCCCCUCCCUCCCCGCCUUCCUUUUUUCCCCUGUGUUUUUUAAUGGGUAAAUCGAAGGGAGUUUCCCCGCUGCCGGGGAAAUACCUGUAAUUUAUGUGUAGGAAAUGGAAAAAAUAUGGUAAAAGGUCACGUUCGCCGGUGGACUUUAAAAACGAUUAGAAUCUUAAUAUCCGUCGUAAAAUACGGACCCGGGCAUUAUCAGCCGAGAAUGUAUUUGUCUUUAGCGCCAAUAUACCGUCAGGAUCUUGCCAAUAUUGAUGCCUUCCCCGUUUACUUCUUUUUCCCCUCCUCCCCUUUUUUUUUUAUCACGUUCCAGAAGAAUAUGAUCCAUUUCUGAAGAUUUAUCUCUCGUCGCGUCUUUUUAAUUCUCGUGAUUAUAAAUAUUUAGCUUCUUGUCACAUUGUUGUUGGGACAUCGGUUUAUCGAUUUUGAUUUCUUAAUUUCCACUGAUUCAGGUUGAACGAGAAGCACGAUUCUCUCAGCAUGAUUUUAUAAUGGAUUAUAAGGAGAAAGAAGAGGAAUUUCCCAUUGGGAAAGAUUAAAGAAUCGAUCCACGUCGCCUGUCGUGCAAAUUGUCGCAAAUGAAAAUUAAUAGAAGGAGGAGCGGAAUUCGAAACGAUUUUUUCUGUUCUUGUUUCUCAUUUGAGAAAAUUUGAAAUUUUAAUACCUUAACUACCCCUUGUGCAAACGGCGCUGGUGAAGCGUGUUAUACAGGGUGUUCUGAAACGGCACAGUGGAUGUAUCAACUGUUUCCCAGCGUCUCUGACGCUUUAAUUGCAAAGCAUUACCCUCUUUUUCCUUUUUUCUUUUUUUUUUUAGCGAGAACACGUACCAAAACUGUUCGAUUAAUUUUUUUUUUCUUUUUUAAUUACAUCAUCGCGAGUAGUUUGAGCGUAAAAAUUUAUUCAACAAAAUUUUCGAGAAAAUUUUUCAGUUUUAAACGUAACGUGAUAUUCCACCCGAAGAAACGCUUGCAAACAAUUUUUAUAUCCAUUUUGCCGAUACAUUAUUGACAAAUUUACUUGAAGCGAGAAUGGCACGAAAUUGGAGUUAUGGAUUGCUCAUCGAGAUAAAAACACGCGUGAAACCAAAGAUAGAUAUAAUUAUUAUUAUAUAAGUGAAAGUAAUAAGCAUCACGUCUUUUGCUGUACAAAUGAAACGAUUUUAUGAGAAGAGAAGGCAUUAAUUUAUUACAGAUUCCUCGCGAAAGAACAAUUCAAAAAAACAGGAAUACCGGAACAAAAAGAAGAUCAUCAACCUUUUCAAAGAAAAAUAAAGAAAUGAAUAUCUUUUGAUUACCAAGAAUUACGAAAGGAAGGAAAUUAUGGAUCAACAUGGCGGACUGGAUCCACGCGAAGCCAGCGCUCCUAGGAGGGCCAGAAGAAACUUUCGAAGAGGGGGGAACGGCGAUGAUAUAUUUUUAUCCCUUUUUUUUUUUUUCUUCCCAAUCUCGUAAAUAUUCUCUUGAAGCGGGUAUAUUAGCAAGCGGCACGUUCUUGGCAAGGAGCUGCUGCUAUUGACAGGGCAUUCAUAUUAGAGAACGACCACACACGCCAUCCGCUCUUUCUUUUCCGCCACAAUGAAAACGACAAUUUCCUCGAGGAAGGAGCCCUCCCUCUGUUUCGACGAUUAUAAAAUAUCACCAUUCUCUUGGCCGGUGACCAGGGGGAGAGGGGAAAGCAGUCAGUGGUGUCAAAAGGGAGGGAGAGAGGAUCGUGGACAAGAACGUAUUGAUCGAGUUAUAGUCUUCAGGGGCUCGAGAGGCUCUAUCCAGAGAGGCUGAUGGGAGCCAAUGAGAGGCACGAAGGGUGAAUUUGGAGCAAGAAUGGCGACCGAAGGUUCCCAUCGAAACGAAUCCCUUGCUAAUGGACGUGUAUGUACAUGUAACGCGUGGAUAUAUGCCUUGAUCUGGCUUAAUCGCCCCUGAAAGUGGUGUAUAUAUAUAUAUAUUGAUCUUCGAUCGAGAUAACUUUUUGCACAAGGUGCUAAAUUAAUGGAUCGAAAGUCUGGGGGGAAGGGUGUUUGAAUUGGUUCGUUUCGAGCGAUUCCGACGAUUCAUUAGAGAAGUAAGAAGAUAAAAUUGAAAAGGAGUUAAUGAGAAAUCUGGAGGCUGAAUUUAAAACGGGCGGAAAGUUCGGGCAGGAAGUUUCUCGACGCUUGCUAAUUAGAUGUUUCGAUCGGCUCUGAAUAUUUUACUCGCGAUCAAAGUUCUGAGCCACUUUGAGGGUUACUGACUUUUAAACUGCUCUAUUCUUUGUAAAAAAAAAAAAACUGACCGCUAGAUUGAUUGGAAUUUUUAUUAUCCGUGCUGUAAAUGGUUCCCUUAA
This is a long non-coding RNA of Apis mellifera (honey bee), 2363 nucleotides long. RefSeq lists it as uncharacterized. The record is from RefSeq and is a predicted model, not a curated record. The transcript has 4 exons. NCBI's taxonomy places the organism in Eukaryota, Metazoa, Arthropoda, Insecta, Hymenoptera, Apidae.